RNAcentral lists this small RNA (58 nucleotides) under bovine gut metagenome. RNAcentral describes it as "Streptococcus sRNA SpF59 (ldcC RNA)". It matches the Rfam family "Streptococcus sRNA SpF59 (ldcC RNA)". The record is from RNAcentral.
GACCGCCCGGCGGAAAGCGACGGGCCAAGGCCACACGGACAGCCGGGUCGGAUGCCGA